GAGGUAAGGUGGAUUAUGUUAAUAGCAUAUUCAUUUGACGUUAGCUGCAGAAGAAGCACCGGCUAACUCCGUGCCAGCAGCCGCGGUAAUACGGAGGGUGCGAGCGUUAAUCGGAAUUACUGGGCGUAAAGCGCAUGCAGGUGGUUUGUUAAGUCAGAUGUGAAAGCCCGGGGCUCAACCUCGGAAUUUGCAUUUGAAACUGGCAAACUAGAGUACUGUAGAGGGGGUAGAAUUUCAGGUGUAGCGGUGAAAUGCGUAGAGAUCUGAAGGAAUACCGGUGGCGAAGGCGGCCCCCUGGACAGAUACUGACACUCAGAUGCGAAAGCGUGGGGAGCAAACAGGAUUAGAUACCCUGGUCG
RNAcentral lists this ribosomal RNA (359 nucleotides) under uncultured bacterium. RNAcentral's name for it is "bacterial SSU rRNA". It matches the Rfam family "Bacterial small subunit ribosomal RNA", at positions 444 to 793 of the family's 1533-position model. The record is from RNAcentral.